Molecule: ribosomal RNA, 746 nt
Filed under: uncultured Mycoplasma sp.
Lineage: Bacteria; Bacillati; Mycoplasmatota; Mollicutes; Mycoplasmatales; Mycoplasmataceae
Description: bacterial SSU rRNA
Rfam family: Bacterial small subunit ribosomal RNA
Source: RNAcentral
GUGAGUAAUACAUAUUUAACAUACCCCUAGGAGGGAAAUAGCCACUUGAAAAAGUGAUUAAUGUCCCAUAGGAGAUUUAUUCAAAAGAACUAAUCUUUAAAGGAGCUUGCUCCACCUAGGGAUUGGAAUAUGAUCUAUUAGCUUGUUGGCGGGGUAAAAGCCCACCAAGGCGAUGAUAGAUAGCUGGUCUAAGAGGAUGAACAGCCACAAUGGGAUUGAGAUACGGCCCAUAUUCCUACGGGAAGCAGCAGUAGGGAAUCUUCCACAAUGGGCGAAAGCCUGAUGGAGCAAUGCCAUGUGAACGACGAAGGCCCUAUGGGUCGUAAAGUUCUUUUAGGGGGGAAAACUAGGAUGGUAUCCCCUGAAUAAGUGACAGCAAACUAUGUGCCAGCAGCUGCGGUAAUACAUAGGUCGCGAGCGUUAUUCGGAUUUAUUGGGCGUAAAGCAAGCGCAGGCGGAUGUAUAAGUUCUGUGUGAAAAGCAGCUGCUCAACAGCUGUUGGCGCCGAAUACUAUACAUCUAGAAUACGGUAGGAAGUUUUGGAAUUGAAUAUGGAGCGGUGGAAUGUGUAGAUAUAUUCAAGAACACCAGAGGCGAAGGCGAAAACUUAGGCCGAUAUUGACGCUUAGGCUUGAAAGUGUGGGGAGCAAAUGGGAUUAGAUACCCCAGUAGUCCACACCGUAAACGAUGGGUAUUAAAUUUUGGGGUUAGUGCCUCAGAGUUGUAGCUUACGUGUUAAAUACCCC